RNAcentral lists this ribosomal RNA (360 nucleotides) under Triticum aestivum (bread wheat). RNAcentral describes it as "partial small subunit ribosomal RNA". Lineage: Eukaryota; Viridiplantae; Streptophyta; Magnoliopsida; Poales; Poaceae. The record is from RNAcentral.
AUCUCUAAAUAUUGGUGGGGCGAUGAUGAUCUUAAAAAACAUAUGCACUUGUUUGCAUGGUGGAAAAUGUGUGUCCCGAAGGAGAGGGGAGGUAUGGGAUUCAGAGACUUGCACUGCUUUAAUAUGGCACUUCUAGCUACACAAUGUUGGAGACUUUUGGGUGAACCAGAAUCACUUUGUGCUAGAGUUUUGAAAGCCAAGUACUUCCCUGAUGGCGACCUUCUUAACUGCAAUCUUGAGAAGGGUAGUUCUUACACAUGGCAGAGUCUAUGGAGUGGGAUUCAAACUUUUAAAAAAGGGCAUAUAUGGAGGGUAGGGGACGGCUCUCAAAUAAAUAUAUGGGAGGAUCCAUGGAUCCCA